RNAcentral lists this ribosomal RNA (301 nucleotides) under uncultured bacterium. Its description in RNAcentral is "partial 16S ribosomal RNA". It matches the Rfam family "Bacterial small subunit ribosomal RNA", at positions 509 to 807 of the family's 1533-position model. The record is from RNAcentral.
CAGUCGCCGCGGUAAAACGAAGGGGGCUAGCGUUGCUCGGAAUGACUGGGCGUAAAGGGCGCGUAGGCGGCGAUCAAAGUCAGGCGUGAAAUUCCUGGGCUCAACCUGGGGGCUGCGUUUGAUACUUGAUUGCUAGAGUGGGGAAGAGGGUCGUGGAAUUCCCAGUGUAGAGGUGAAAUUCGUAGAUAUUGGGAAGAACACCGGUGGCGAAGGCGGCGACCUGGUCCUUGACUGACGCUGAGGCGCGAAAGCGUGGGGAGCAAACAGGAUUAGAUACCCCCGUAGUCCCUGUCUCUUAUAC